RNAcentral lists this ribosomal RNA (497 nucleotides) under uncultured bacterium. RNAcentral describes it as "partial 16S ribosomal RNA". It matches the Rfam family "Bacterial small subunit ribosomal RNA", at positions 28 to 507 of the family's 1533-position model. The record is from RNAcentral.
GAUGAACGCUGGCGGCGUGCCUAACACAUGCAAGUCGAACGGACGGACGAUGAGCUUGCUUUUUUCACGUUAGCGGCGCGGGCGUGUGUAACAUGUGUAUAACCCACCUAUAUGACGGGUGAAACUUCGUGAAACCGGAACUUAUACCCGAUAAUCUUUUGAACCCCAUUGUUCAUAAGUUAAAUACGGCCUUCCUGUCACUUAUCGCUGAUUCCGGUCUGCAUUAGCUAGUUGGUCAGGUAACGGCUUACCAAGGCAACGAUGCAUAGCCGAUCUGAGAGGGUGAUCGGCCACCCUGGAACUGAGACACGGUCCAGACUCCUACGGGAGGCAGCAGUAGGGAAUAUUACGCAAUGGGCGAAAGCAUGACGGAGCAACGCCGCGUGUGUGAUGAAGGCCUUCGGAUCGUAAAGCUCUGUUAGUGGGGAAGAACAUAUUUGUAAUUAAACGUGCACAUAUUGACGGUACCUGAAGAAGAAGCACCGGCUAACUACGUG